Molecule: non-coding RNA, 285 nt
Organism: Vicia faba (fava bean)
Lineage: Eukaryota; Viridiplantae; Streptophyta; Magnoliopsida; Fabales; Fabaceae
Source: the annotation of a GenBank genome assembly
AUGGUGACUACUACUUCACAAAGUAGUAGAAGGAAUCUAUGGCGACUACUACUUCAAAGGGUACCAGAAGGAAUCUAUGGCGACUACUAUUGCAAAAGGUACCAGAAGGAAUCUAUGGGGACUACUACUUCAAAGGAUGCAGUGAAGGCGAUAAGAAAACCAGAGGAUGAUCUUCAGAAGCGUCAAAGCAUAAGGUUAGUGAAAGUCACUUGGCCACGAAGAGUUUCAAGAUCUGUAUGGAAGGACCAAGGACACGGCUUGAAGAAAGGGUUGAUUUUUGGUUGA